RNAcentral lists this ribosomal RNA (254 nucleotides) under uncultured bacterium. Its description in RNAcentral is "partial 16S ribosomal RNA". It matches the Rfam family "Bacterial small subunit ribosomal RNA", at positions 526 to 779 of the family's 1533-position model. The record is from RNAcentral.
CGUAGGUUGCAAGCGUUGUCCGGAUUUACUGGGUGUAAAGGGCGUGUAGGCGGAGAUGCAAGUCAGGAGUGAAAUCCCGGGGCUCAACCCCGGAACUGCUUUUGAAACUGUAUCCCUUGAGUGUCGGAGAGGCAAGCGGAAUUCCUAGUGUAGCGGUGAAAUGCGUAGAUAUUAGGAGGAACACCAGUGGCGAAGGCGGCUUGCUGGACGAUAACUGACGCUGAGGCGCGAAAGCGUGGGGAGCAAACAGGAUU